Molecule: ribosomal RNA, 253 nt
Filed under: uncultured bacterium
Lineage: Bacteria
Description: partial 16S ribosomal RNA
Rfam family: Bacterial small subunit ribosomal RNA
Source: RNAcentral
UACGGAGGGAGCUAGCGUUGUUCGGAAUUGCUGGGCGUAAAGCGCGCGUAGGCGGCUUUGUAAGUUAGAGGUGAAAGCCCGGGGCUCAACCCCGGAACUGCCUUUAAGACUGCAUCGCUUGAAUCCGGGAGAGGUGAGUGGAAUUCCGAGUGUAGAGGUGAAAUUCGUAGAUAUUCGGAAGAACACCAGUGGCGAAGGCGGCUCACUGGACCGGCAUUGACGCUGAGGUGCGAAAGCGUGGGGAGCAAACAGG